GGCAAUGUAGCUUAAUGGUAGAGCACUUGCCUAACAUGUACUAGGCCCUGGGUUCAAUCUCUAGUACUGCCA
This 72-nucleotide transfer RNA is filed under the name Heterocephalus glaber (naked mole-rat). It matches the Rfam family "tRNA". From Rfam's summary of the family: Transfer RNA (tRNA) molecules are approximately 80 nucleotides in length. Lineage: Eukaryota; Metazoa; Chordata; Mammalia; Rodentia; Bathyergidae. The record is from Rfam by way of RNAcentral.